Molecule: ribosomal RNA, 494 nt
Filed under: uncultured bacterium
Lineage: Bacteria
Description: partial 16S ribosomal RNA
Rfam family: Bacterial small subunit ribosomal RNA
Source: RNAcentral
GACGAACGCUGGCGGCGUGCUUAACACAUGCAAGUCGAACGGUGAAGCGCCUUCCUUUUUGGGUGGUGUGGAUGAGUGGCGAACGGGUGAGUAACACUUGCGUAACCUGCCCCCUUCUUCUGGAUAACCGCAUGAAAGUUUGUCUAAUACGGGAUAUUCUGGGUCUUUGGCAUGGUUGGUCUGUGUAAGAUGUUGGUUCGGGGGGGGAUGGGCUGGCGGCCUAUAAGGUGGUUGGGGUGGUGAGGGGCUACCAAGGCGGUGACGUGUGGAAGGCCUGAGAGGGUGGACGGUCAGACUGGGACUGAGGCACGGCUGGGACUCCGAUGCGGGGCAGCAGUCGGGAGUAGUGAACAAUGGGGGAAAGCCUGAUGCAGCGGCGACGCGGGAGGGAUGGAGGCCCUCGGGUUGUGACCGUCUUUCGCCAGUGAAGCAGGUCUGCCUCGUAUGUGGGUGGGUUGACGGUAGCUGGAAAAGAAGCGCCGGCUAACUACGUG